AGCUCAGACAGUAAAGCAUCUGCCUGCAAUGCAGAAGUUCCAGGUUUGAUCCCUGG
This 56-nucleotide transfer RNA is filed under the name Ovis aries (sheep). It matches the Rfam family "tRNA", at positions 9 to 63 of the family's 71-position model. From Rfam's summary of the family: Transfer RNA (tRNA) molecules are approximately 80 nucleotides in length. Their secondary structure includes four short double-helical elements and three loops (D, anti-codon, and T loops). Further hydrogen bonds mediate the characteristic L-shaped molecular structure. tRNAs have two regions of fundamental functional importance: the anti-codon, which is responsible for specific mRNA codon recognition, and the 3' end, to which the tRNAs corresponding amino acid is attached (by aminoacyl-tRNA synthetases). tRNAs cope with the degeneracy of the genetic code in two manners: having more than one tRNA (with a specific anti-codon) for a particular amino acid; and 'wobble' base-pairing, i.e. permitting non-standard base-pairing at the 3rd anti-codon position. Lineage: Eukaryota; Metazoa; Chordata; Mammalia; Artiodactyla; Bovidae. The record is from Rfam by way of RNAcentral.